AGAGUUUGAUCCUGGCUCAGGAUGAACGCUAGCGGCAGGCCUAACACAUGCAAGUCGAGGGGCAGCACGAAUUAGUUUACUAAUUUGGUGGCGACCGGCGCACGGGUGCGUAACGCGUAUGCAACCUACCCUGUACUGAGGGAUAGCCCGAAGAAAUUCGGAUUAAUACCUCAUAGUAUUAUGAAAUUGCAUGGUUUUAUAAUUAAAGGUUACGGUACAGGAUGGCAUGCGUCCUAUUAGCUAGAUGGUGAGGUAACGGCUCACCAUGGCAACGAUAGGUAGGGGGCCUGAGAGGGUAGUCCCCCACACUGGUACUGAGACACGGACCAGACUCCUACGGGAGGCAGCAGUGAGGAAUAUUGGUCAAUGGACGCAAGUCUGAACCAGCCAUGCCGCGUGCAGGAAGAAUGCCCUAUGGGUUGUAAACUGCUUUUAUUUAGGAAUAAACCUUUCUACGUGUAGAAAGCUGAAGGUACUAAAUGAAUAAGCACCGGCUAACUCCGUGCCAGCAGCCGCGGUAAUACGGAGGGUGCAAGCGUUAUCCGGAAUCAUUGGGUUUAAAGGGUCCGCAGGCGGAUUUAUAAGUCAGUGGUGAAAGCCUACAGCUUAACUGUAGAACUGCCAUUGAUACUGUAAGUCUUGAAUUCGGUCGAAGUGGGCGGAAUGUGUAAUGUAGCGGUGAAAUGCAUAGAUAUUACACAGAACACCGAUAGCGAAGGCAGCUCACUAGGCCUGGAUUGACGCUCAGGGACGAAAGCGUGGGGAUCAAACAGGAUUAGAUACCCUGGUAGUCCACGCUGUAAACGAUGAUUACUCGUUUUCGGCGAUACACAGUCGGAGACUAAGCGAAAGUGAUAGUAAUCCACCUGGGGAGUACGAUCGCAAGGUUGAAACUCAAAGGAAUUGACGG
RNAcentral lists this ribosomal RNA (910 nucleotides) under uncultured marine bacterium. RNAcentral describes it as "bacterial SSU rRNA". It matches the Rfam family "Bacterial small subunit ribosomal RNA", at positions 8 to 916 of the family's 1533-position model. The record is from RNAcentral.